GAACGAUGACCUCCAGCUUGCUGGGGUGAUUAGUGGCGAACGGGUGAGUAACACGUGAGUAACCUGCCCUUAACUCUGGGAUAAGCCUGGGAAACUGGGUCUAAUACCGGAUAUGACUCCUCAUCGCAUGGUGGGGGGUGGAAAGCUUUUUGUGGUUUUGGAUGGACUCGCGGCCUAUCAGCUUGUUGGUGAGGUAAUGGCUCACCAAGGCGACGACGGGUAGCCGGCCUGAGAGGGUGACCGGCCACACUGGGACUGAGACACGGCCCAGACUCCUACGGGAGGCAGCAAUGGGGAAUAUUGCACAAUGGGCGAAAGCCUGAUGCAGCGACGCCGCGUGAGGGAUGACGGCCUUCGGGUUGUAAACCUCUUUCAGUAGGGAAGAAGCGAAAGUGACGGUACCUGCAGAAGAAGCGCCGGCUAACUACGUGCCAGCAGCCGCGGUAAUACGUAGGGCGCAAGCGUUAUCCGGAAUUAUUGGGCGUAAAGAGCUCGUAGGCGGUUUGUCGCGUCUGCCGUGAAAGUCCGGGGCUCAACUCCGGAUCUGCGGUGGGUACGGGCAGACUAGAGUGAUGUAGGGGAGACUGGAAUUCCUGGUGUAGCGGUGAAAUGCGCAGAUAUCAGGAGGAACACCGAUGGCGAAGGCAGGUCUCUGGGCAUUAACUGACGCUGAGGAGCGAAAGCAUGGGGAGCGAACAGGAUUAGAUACCCUGGUAGUCCAUGCCGUAAACGUUGGGCACUAGGUGUGGGGGACAUUCCACGUUUUCCGCGCCGUAGCUAACGCAUUAAGUGCCCCGCCUGGGGAGUACGGCCGCAAGGCUAAAACUCAAAGGAAUUGACGGGGGCCCGCACAAGCGGCGGAGCAUGCGGAUUAAUUCGAUGCAACGCGAAGAACCUUACCAAGGCUUGACAUGGGCCGGACCGGGCUGGAAACAGUCCUUCCCCUUUGGGGCCGGUUCACAGGUGGUGCAUGGUUGUCGUCAGCUCGUGUCGUGAGAUGUUGGGUUAAGUCCCGCAACGAGCGCAACCCUCGUUCCAUGUUGCCAGCGCGUAAUGGCGGGGACUCAUGGGAGACUGCCGGGGUCAACUCGGAGGAAGGUGGGGACGACGUCAAAUCAUCAUGCCCCUUAUGUCUUGGGCUUCACGCAUGCUACAAUGGCCGGUACAAAGGGUUGCGAUACUGUGAGGUGGAGCUAAUCCCAAAAAGCCGGUCUCAGUUCGGAUUGGGGUCUGCAACUCGACCCCAUGAAGUCGGAGUCGCUAGUAA
RNAcentral lists this ribosomal RNA (1267 nucleotides) under uncultured Actinomycetes bacterium. RNAcentral describes it as "bacterial SSU rRNA". It matches the Rfam family "Bacterial small subunit ribosomal RNA", at positions 64 to 1341 of the family's 1533-position model. Lineage: Bacteria; Bacillati; Actinomycetota; Actinomycetes. The record is from RNAcentral.